RNAcentral lists this microRNA (20 nucleotides) under Populus trichocarpa (black cottonwood). RNAcentral's name for it is "ptc-miR7839". Lineage: Eukaryota; Viridiplantae; Streptophyta; Magnoliopsida; Malpighiales; Salicaceae. The record is from miRBase by way of RNAcentral.
AGUGGCAUUGGAGGUAUCCC